This 22141-nucleotide long non-coding RNA is filed under the name Glycine max (soybean). Its description in RNAcentral is "long non-coding RNA (GMAX_LNC003544)". Lineage: Eukaryota; Viridiplantae; Streptophyta; Magnoliopsida; Fabales; Fabaceae. The record is from RNAcentral.
UUAAACCAAUUCCAAUUGUUAAACCUGUACCAAAACCUUUUACAGUGCAAAAACCCAUCCCCGCUAUUGACCCAGAGUCUUUUCUAAAGCCGAAGCCUUUCUUUGAGAAACCUAUUCCUAAAUUGCCACUUGACCCUAAAUUCAAGAAACCACUUCUGCCACCUUUCCCAAUUCAAAAGCCAAUUUCAAGUCCAUAAGAUGAUAAGACUUUACCACCUCUCACUAAAAAAUAUCUUGCUUAGACGAUCUAUUUCUAACUCCUAUUUAUGUGCUCUAUAUCUCAAAAUUAUUAGUUGCACUUGAUAAUCCUAGGGUAUCUCUCUUUAUGUUGGAAUACCUAUAUAGUUAAUGUUAUCUCCUCAAUAAAGUUCUCAAUAUUUGCGGUUGUUAAUCAAUUUUAUAUUAAUACAAUUACAAAGAGUGGGUUGAUUUUCCCUUUUUAAAAUAACAUUUUUUAAUUUUAUUAUAUUUUUGUGAGAUUAUAUUUUGAGCAAGGAUACUCGUAAAUCGUAAUAAACUAAAUAAUCACGAGAAAAAAAUAUGCCUGUGUUAUAAGCUAAAACAAAUGCAUACUCAUUUGUUUCUUAAAAGCAACAUAAUAUAUUGCAAACUAAGUAUAACUUUAAGUUUGGUCAAAUAUUAAAAAAGUAUAACUUGCUAAUAUAUUCAUUCUCGAAUGAGAGUAUAUUAACAGUUUUAAAUACUAUGUAGGGAUUAUAUUCUGACACUAGGUACUUUAACAAAUGACAUUGUUUUAAGCAUUUAACAUUUUAGUGACAUAAAAAAUGUCACCAAAAGAUUUUAGGAACAUUUUUAAAGGUAUGUGUAGUAGUGUAACUACAUGUAUAUUAAUUAAGAAAGGGUGGGAUACACUACAUUAUUUUAGCAUUUAACAAAGUUUUACUCUUGUUAUUAUAAAAAAUAAAAAUAAAAAUAAAAAUAAAAACGUUCUCAUUGAGAACAAUGAUCUCCACGCGGUAAUUUGAAAGUAGGAAUCAGUAACUUGCAAAUAAAAUGACCCCCGAAAGGACACAUUGCUGGCAGAAGGCCAACUCAGUUUUAAAGAGUGUUGUUAUGAAAAAAUAUUGUUGCUGAGAGUGAUGAUCCCGACAUGGUACUUAGAAAGGAGGGAUAGGUAACAUGCACACAAAUACUACCAAUUACAAAUUACAAAUUACGUACUGCACAUUAAACUUGUACCAAAACACUAGAAAUUUCAUAAUAACGACCAAUUCAAUUUUAAGGAGUGUCAUUAUUAUGAAAAAUGUUGUCAUUGAGAGUGGUGGGUUCAGCGCACUACUUAAGAAGGAGGGAUCACUAGCUUGAACAAGAAAGGAUAUUAGAAAUUUCAUAGUACUGGCUGUUAGAUGACCAACUCAAUUUUAAUUAUUGUUGUUAUUUUAAGGGGAGUUCAAAUGGCAGACACAAGAAAAAUAAUAUAUUUAAAUCUCUUUAAUUUAAUAGUUAUUUAAUUUUUAGAAAAUUUCUUUCAAAUAAAAUAUUUAAUGAUGAAAAAAUAAAUACCUCUUAUAUUUUAAUAUAUCGAAUUUAAAAAAUUUUACUAACCAAAAGUAUCCUUAAAAAGAAAUGUGAAUGGACAUGUUUGCAGAAGACACAUUUCAAAUGUUAAAAAAGUAGAAAAAUACAUGGAAAUAGAAUAAAUUUAGAUGUCUUUUACUUAAUAAUUAUUUAAUUUUUACAAAAUUUGUUUCAAAUAAAAUAUUUAAUGAUGAAAAUCGUAAAUAACUUUCAUAUUUUAAUAUAUUAAAUUAAAUCAUUUUAUUUUCCGAAAUUCCUAUUAAAGUAUCAAGAAAAUGCAUUACAGAUGGACAUGUUUAUGUUUGAAGACACCUUUCAAACCUUAAAAAUAAUAUGGAAAUACUAAGUACAUUCAAGUUAAUAAUUUUUUUACAACACAAAGGUCUUGAACAUAAAAUACCUGUUUAGCUUGUUCUGUCAUGAUGAAAGGGUCAUUCUGGUAAGCUAGUUUCUUUAGGUCUAUCAACGUAAAUCCUACAUCAUCGAUCCGCACACCGGUGUUUACAGAUGGACAUGUUUAUGUUUGAAGACACCUUUCAAACUUUAAAAAUAAUAUGGAAAUACUAAGUACAUUCAAGUUAAUAAUUUUUUUACAACACAAAGGUCUUGAACAUAAAAUACCUGUUUAGCUUGUUCUGUCAUGAUGAAAGGGUUAUUCUGGUAAGCUAGUUUCUUUAGGUCUAUCAACGUAAAUCCUACAUCAUCGAUCCGCACACCGGUGUUGCUGUCAAUCCAUUUAGAUUUGAAAACACAAACAAUAAAUUUGACAUAGUUAAGCUCCCAAAUUUCAUCAAUGAACCCAAAAUAAGGGAUGGAAGCUACACAGGGAUUAUCAUCAUGUACACUAGCAAAGUGUUGAGAUUCAACCCUUAGGGUGACCCCACUGUUUUGCAUUGUACUUUUCUCAUCUUGUGCUUUUGUAUAAAAGGAAUACUUGUUUAUGUCGUAUCCUUGCCAAGUUAUAACAUUUCUUUUAGGCCCAUGUGCUAGCUUUCUUAAUGUUUCAGAAGCAUUUUCAUCAGCAAAGAUUGUAUCUUUAAACCAAUCAAAGAAAGUCUUGUUAUGCUUUUUCAAGACCCAAUUCUUUGACAUUUUUGGAUUACUUUGUUUGACUAAACCUUCAUGCUGAAGUAUGUAUGGCAAAACUUCAUUACUGUUAUUCAAGACAUACAAGUGAGCUUGUAACAAAUCUUCUACACUUGGAGUGAUAACAUGCAGUCCUCUUGAAUCCUUACUGCCCACUCUGUCAUCAUGCCGAGACUCGGGAAGCCCAACAAGUUUAGCCUUUUCAAUGUACUCUGAACAAAAUUCAAUGGCUUCUUCUGCAAUGUACCUUUCAACAAUAGAUGCUUCGGGACGAUGUAGAUUCUUCAUAUACCCUUUUAAGAUCUUCAUGUAUCGCUCAACCGAGUACAUCCACCGCAAAUAAAUAGGACCACAACAUUUGAUUUCUCUAAUCAGAUGAACAAUUAAGUGAACCAUGAUGUCAAAGAAAGCAGGAGGAAAAUACAUCCAACUAGCAUAGUAUAAUUGUAGCCUCAUUUUCCAGGUCAUCAAACUUGACAUGAUCAAGGACUUUGCUACAUAUGGCAUUGAAAAAAAAAGCACAGGCAAGUUAUGACUAACCUGACUUUGUUAGGCAAAAUUUCUUGUAUGGCCACGGCUAACAAUUGUUGCAUCAAGACGUGACAAUCGUGAGACUUUAACCCUACCAGCUUAAGCUCCUUCAACUGCACAAGGCUCUUCAUAUUUGAAGAGUAUCCUUGUGGGACUUUGACCCGCCACAGACACUGAUAAAAACUUAUCUUCUCCUUUUUCAACAAAGUAUGACAAGCUGGAGGCAAGUAUAAUUUUUUCCCAUCAGACCUUGGAUGCAACUGCGAUCGUAUGCCCAACUCAGCUAGAUCUUGACGGGUAUUCAAGCCAUCUUUCGUCUUGCCUUGAAUGUUAAAGAGCGUCCCAAUGACACUAUCACAUACAUUUUUCUUCAUAUGCAUAACAUCAAUACAAUGUCUAAUGUCAAGGUCAGACCAGUAUGGAAGAUCAAAGAAAUAGACCUCUUCUUCCAUAUGCAAGUCUUACUUUUUUCCUUCUUUUGGGUCUUUCCAAAUAUAGUAUUCAAGUGUUGAAUCCGCUAGAAGUCCUGCUCACCAGUCAACGGUAUCAGCACAGUUUCGUGUUCUUGACUUCCAUUAAAUGCUUUUUUCAAUCGCCUGUAAGGAUGAUGAGGUUUUAAAAAAUGUUGAUGCCUAGUGUACACUAUUUUUUUUACCAUGUUUCAGUUAUAUGUAGCUUGUGUCUUCUUCACAGAUGGGGCAUGCAUGAUGACCCUUAACACUGUAACCACUUAUAUUUCCAUAUGCUUGAAAGUCAUUAAUGUUACAAAAAAGCAUUGCACGCAUUUGAAAAGUCUCAUUUUGAAACCCAUCAAACACUAAACCCCCCUCAUCCCACAACUUUGUCAGGUCUUCAAUCAAUGGACUUAGAUAAACAUCAAUGUCAUUUCUUGGCUGUCUUGGGCCCGAUAUCAUCAUAGACAACAUCAUGUAUUUUUGCUUCAUGCACAACCAAGGAGGAAAAUUAUAAAUUACUAGUAGAAUUGGCCAUGAACUGUGUUGAGUGCUUAAAUUACCAUAUGGAUUCAUUCCAUCACUGCCUAGUCUAAGCCUAAGAUUUCUUGCCUCUUGCCGAAAUCCAAAAACAAAUGAUCUAUCUUCUUCCACUGCGAGCAAUCAGCCGGAUGACGGACCAUUCCAUCGCAUUUUCUCCCUAUUGCAUGUCAUGUAAGGUCUUUAGCGUCGUCUCCAUUAGCAAAAAGAUGCUUAAACCUUAGAACAAUCGGCAGAUACCACAACACCUUCAUUGGGGGGCCCUUCUUUGAGUUUUCAUCACUACUACACUUCUCAUCAUUCUUCACUUUGUACCAUCAUAACCCACACCUAGGGCAUUUGGACAUUUCUUCAAAUUUAUGUUUGUACAGUAUGCAAUCAUUCGGGCAAGCAUGAAUCUUCUAAUACUCCAUACCCAUAGGACACAGUACCUUUUUUGCCUGAUAGUAACUUUUAGGCUACGUGUUUUCCUCUGGAAGCAUAUCGUGCACUACUUGAACCAGUGAAAUAAAGCUUUUGUCACUCCACCCAUAUCUGGACUUGACAUUAACUAGACUUAACACCGUAGACAAUAGUGUCAACGAAUUCUUGCACCCCGGAUACAAAGGCUUCUUUGAAUCAGUUUGCAAUGUAUCAUACAUAGGGGCAUGUGUUUGUUAAAAAGACUCUUGUCCAAGGUCACGAAUCAUAUCCUCCAAGCCAUCUCCCAUUUCUACAUCAAACGGUUCAGAUUGGGGCCCACUUUAGUUGUCUGUCAUUCCACCAUGCCAUAUCCACGUUGUAUAAUUCCUCUUGAUUCCAUUACACAACAGAUGGUCUCGUAUGUCAUCAACUUUUUGCCAUCUCCCGUUCAAACAAUUUAUGCAUGGACAAAAAAACUUGUCAUUUUCAUCUAGUCGACUUCUUUCUGAAGCAAAUUGCAGGAACUGUUCAACGCCUUCCUCAUAUGCAGAGCUCAAUCGGCUUUCAUUCAUCCAACUUCGAUCCAUCUAAAUAAUAACUGAUUCAUACUCUGAAACUCAUUCAAUGCAUGAUAUCUCACUUUUUCAUUUAAGGUGUGGCCCUAUCCCAUUCAGGAAGACACAUUUUUAUGGUAGAUUCAGGCGUUAAGAUUAAUCUUAUUUUGUUAAAUUUGAUAAAAUUUUGACAGCAUUUCACAUUGGUCUCCAAGUACACGAUACAAAAUCGGUGACAUUAAUUUGUCGAUAAUCAUGUAUGCACUUAGAGAACAACUAGAGAUGCAUUGUACCAUAAUUUCAUCAAAUUAAACAAAAUAAUGUUAACCUUAACACAUGAAUCAACCAUAAAAAUGGGAGUCUCCCCAAACUGUCCAAACGGACAAUUUAAGAUUGAAUACAAUGAUUAAUGCACACUUUCUGCAAGAAUCAUUGUAUUCAAUCUCAAAUGGGAAUCUAAGGCUAACUCAUUAUGAAAAAAAGUUUAAUCUAAAGCAAAGCACAUUAAUGACAUACAAUUUAAAUACAGUGACAUCUAACACAACACAAUAGAUCGGUAAGAACCCUAACCAAACAAGAAAGCAAUGGACGCUAAGUUAGAGCAACAGACGGUGGAGGUAUCCACUCUCGUCACACGUGCCGCUCAUGAUAAGUCCUCUGAUUCGUUAGCAUCGCUAACGAAACCAACGAGUUAUCAUGAGCAACGGGUGUGACGAGAGUGGAUACCUCCACCGUCUGUUGCCCUAACUCGGCAGCCAUUACUUUCUUAUUUGGUUAUGGUUCUUACCGAUCUAUUGUGUUGUCUUAUAUCUGAAAAGAGAAACUAGCUAACUAAUCGAAACCAGCGGUAUAUAUAUAUAUAUAUAUAUAUAUAUAUAUAUACAUACAUACAAGUCCGUACGUACGUACCUAGAAUUGCUAUAAUCAAAGACCUUCCAGAGCAACACGAAUUACCAGUAGCAAAUGAUAACCUGGCAAAAUGUGAAACAAAAUUUAAUGAUUUAUAUUACAAAUUGCCAAGUAGUUAGUUAUUUACCAAGUACAUUACAUCUAGUAGCUUCUAUUUCUAUUCUUUGGUAAUUUACUCUCCUUGCCAAUUUUCCUUCUAUUUACUAAACUUAAUAUUUAUUAGUUUAUUCCUUCUUAAUCUAGUUUUUUUUCAUCGGCCAGUUGACUCACUAAGUAACCCACUAUUUGGUUCAUUGUCACCUAACUAACUAACAGACCUAUGAAACAGCCUCUUAAGUUGCAGCGCCGGGGGCAAUGCUACUAUUUCAUUGCCAGGGGCAUCAAUUGAGUGAUUUGGGUGGUAGGGAGUGAUGUAGCUCCGUUGGAGCUUGUAGGCCUUGGAUCUUCUUCAUCAAUGAAGUCCUUUGCUUCUUAAAUUUUAAUGGCAGCGGAAUGGAGAAGAAGAGGAGUUGAGAGGAGACACCACUUAAAGGAGAAUAUGAGUCAAGAAGAAGCUCACCACCAUAGGAAGCCAUGAAUAAGAGCUUGGAGGUAGGAGAAGAAGAAUGGAGGGAGAAGAAGAGAGAGAUCACGAAAUUUGUGCCUCAAAAGAGGUCUGAACUUUGAAGUGUAAUUCUCAAAUGAUCAAAGUUAAAAAAUGCACACACAUGGCCUCUAUUUAUAACCUAAGUGUCACAUAAAAUUGGAGGGAAAUUUGAAUUUCUAUUUAAAUUUUACUUGAAUUUGAAAUUGAAUUUGUGGAGCCAAAAUUUCACUAAUUAUGAUUAGUAAAUUUUAGUCUUGGUUCAGCCCACUAAUCCAAGAUCAAGUCCAAGAUUCUCCACUAAGUGUGCUUAGGUGUCAUGAGACAUGUAAAGCAUGAAGGACAUGCACAAGUGUGACUAUACGAUGUGGAAAUGAGGUGUAGCAAGUAAAUGUUCACCUCCCCCUCUAAAAUUUAAUUGGAUUAGGCUUCUCCCAAUUCAAUUAAAUUUAUUUACCAACACACACAUCAAAUAUUCACUCAAUGCAUGUGAAAUUACAAAACUACUCCUAAUACAAAAACUAGUCUAGCUGCCCUAAAAUACAAGGGCUGAAAAAUCCUACAUUUCAAGGGUACCCUACCUACAUUAUGGAGCCCUAAAUACAAGGUCCAAAAAUAAUGAAACCUUAAUCUAAUAUGUACAAAGAUAAGUGGGCUCAUACUUAGCCCAUGGGCCCGAAAUCUAUCCUAAGGCUCAUGAGAAUCCUAGGGUCUUCUCUUGCAUCUCUGGCCCAAUCUACUAGGAGUCUUCUAUCCAAUGCCUUUGCGGGGUAGGAUUGCAUCAGGGAGGUUGCAGCCCCAGGGACAGUGCUACUGAUUCUUGUCAAACCAUAAGGGGCAUGAUUAUGCUUGGUUUUUGCUUGUUGGGUAUAUCUAAAUAAAAUAAUAUAUAACAAAAUUCUCAUCAAGCCAUGUAGUAAUUGCUACUGAAUUGUAGAAUUGAGCAGCUCAAAACAGUGUUGAUUCUUCUUCCCCAACCUUGGAGGAUAAUGAAAUCUUUCAUUCUGAUAAGCAAUAUCAUGUAGAAGAAGAAUCAAUGGCAGAAGGUUCAAAAGAUCAAGUUUUAUUGAGUAGCAAUUCAUAUUGUUUUGGUGGGUCAGAUAAUGGUAUGAAAGGCAAUGUUCUAAAAAAUGAAACAUUGAAGAAUAUGAGGUCUGUAAGAGAGCAAUAGAAAAUGAAGUGAACCUCCUGAAUUUAGAGAGCACCGAUUUAGAUAAAGGGUCCUAUGAGCAGAGACCAUCAUCAUUUGCCCCCAAAGCCUAUGAGAUGGAAGGCUCUUGCAGCUCUAAGAUUAACAACACCAAAAACGACAGCAACUUGAUGUCCAAUUGUUCCAACAAAGACAUGCUCCUAGACAGCUACACCACUAGUUGGCAACCCUGAGAUUUGAUGUGAAAUUACCCUCUUAAUAUCAAAAACAGAAUGAAGAGAAAGAAUAGAAAAGUGUUGUGUGCUGUAAGGGAGAGGAAAGGUAUUGCAAAUUUGUCAACUGAGUGGGAGAAGAAAGGUGUCUCUUGAAGAUAAGAGAAGGCAAAAAAAACCUCAUGAAAUGAAGGUUUUCUAUGCACUGGAUAAUGCAAUAGAACCCACAAAAUUGCGAGCCUUCAACUUUCAGAAAAAUGACAAUCUCACAAGCAAGCUAGUUUGUUCUUCAACCCUCUGGUAUAAUCCCACUCUGCAGCAAUCCUACACUGAUACUACCUAAUGUACAAUUGUAAAUGCUCGAGCUAGUUAGUAAAAAUACUAAUAGCAUCAUAGCAACACAUAAAUACCACUAUCCUUGUUACGGGUGAAAAGAUUUUAAAAUUUUCAUCAUAAUAUCAAAUACACGUGUAUGGAUUGCUUUAGUACAGAUAUUUGAACUUACAAAAUUAUAAAUUGAUUCCUACAUUUUUCUUGGUAAACCAGACUCAGGCCAAUUGAGAUAUUCUGGGAAUUGAAGUUGCUUAAUCAAGGUCUGGAAUUACUAUUUCCCAAUAAACUAUGCUCUUGGUAUUCUUGAAGAAAAUGGAAUGGUGAAUUGUAAACCAUUAGAUAAUCCCACAUAUCAAGAUAUUGGAGUUUGGCAGAAAGCUAAACUAAUCCAAGUAGAUAUUGGAGUUUGGCAGAAAGCUAAACUAAUCCAAUUGUAACAAGACCAACCAUCUUUUGUUGUAAGUGUGGUCAUUAGAAUGCAAAUGUCAUAAUUCUGAUAUUUCUUAGAGGAUCACUAGUAAAAGGAUUUAUUAGUGUUUUUGAACAGAGGGCAUAAGGAGAUUAUUACCUAUACUUAGUAGGAGAUCUACCUAUGGAUAUUGUGUUCUAUUUGGAGUGAAUCUCUUUCAUGGAAAACCUUAAGAAGCAAAAUAUGGUUGCAAGGUCCAGAGCUGAAGCAAAAUAUCAAGCUAUGACUCUCACUACUUAUGAACUAAUAUGUCUAAAAACAAAUAAAUGACUCAUUAAAGAGCUAAAAUUUUGUGAGGUUGGAAUUGAGACACAUUUGUGAUAAUCAAGCAGCCCUUCAUAUUACAUCUAACCCAGUUUUUUAUGAGCAUACCAAACAUAUAGAGAUCGAUUACCUUUUAUAUUUCUGAGAAGAUAGACUCCAGAUAAAUUAGGACAUAUUUUGUUAACUUCAAAUAAUCAAUUGGUUGAUCUGCUCACUAAUGCUCUUUAUGGACAAGGGAUUUCUUAUUUCUAGCCAAAACAAUAAAAUUAAAGGCAAGAAAAAAUUACCUCAAGACAAGGGAAAGAGGUUUUAAUGUCACUCACACCGGUCCAUGUUCAUAGCAUAUAGGAUCCUGCAUGUAAAACAAAUAAUUCUCUAAAAUGAAGUUAAGUAAACAACCACUUAAUUGAAAAGAUAUAUCCUGAAGGUAACUGUAACAGCUAGUGUUUGGUAUAUUGAGUUCAAUCAAGAAAUAUGCAAACCCCUAGUAGUGGAAUACCUGUUGGAGUAGUGAUCAAUGCCGGGAAAUUGAUGACGUCUAUCCCUUGGUCAUCGAACUUGUACUAGAGAUGGUAGUUGUCUGCAAAUAUCAAAAAGACUCGAUGUCAUGCUACAGAGGGAAAAUGGUGGAAGGUAUUAUACCAAUUUAUAGGGCAUAUGUCAACAAUUAUUGUUUGUCAAUAGAAAAUGAUGCUAAGGUUGACAAGAAUAUGAAAUAUACGGUGCAGAGUUUGGAGAACAAGAUUAGGUCUCUAUUUUAGCCGAAGCAGAGGAAAGGUAGUAGCAUUAAAUAGGCACACUUGAUUAGUAAAAUAAAAGAAGUCAGUCAUCAAUUUCGCUUGACUCUAGCUUCUCUAUAAUGCUUUUCCUUGUACUUGCAAUUACAGACUUGACUGUAGCUACUCUAUAAUGCUUUUCGCUUGACUCUAGUUGCUCUAUAAUGUUUGGAGAACAACUACUACUACUAACAAUUACAGACCUGACUCUAUUGAAUCUGUAUUGAUGACUUUGCCUUCAAUUUCAUCAAGUAUAGUCAGUGCCUGAAUGAAGAAACAGGUAGUUCUAUCUAGCUCUGUACUUGGUCUUAAGAUUCCAAAGCUAAGUAAACAUUAAUUCUUGUGCAAAACUAAACAAUAUCCAGUCAGUCAAAUGGGAUGUUUCCCUUAGUACUAUGGCAAAGGGUUUGUUGUGUCCAGUGUUUUAUGCCAAACCCUUUGUAAAGUAAAUAUGAGGUUAAUUGCAUAAAAAAGUGAAAUAAAGCUCAGAGUAGGCAAUCCUAUCUUAAAUCUUACCCUUUCCUUGAUGUCACCCAAAGUCGGCAAGUACAGCUUAUAGAAUUCCUCUCUGAAUGCAACCACAAACCUAAAUAAACUUUAGAAACCACCAAGAAUAAGACAAUUAGGAUUCGUUUGAUUUGUAUAAAUUUAAGGGACAACACAACAAAAUAUUACAUAUGCAUACAUUCAAACUUUAUUGACUCACUAAUCUUAUAUUUCCUCAAUGUGGGUGUUAGACAGAAACCAAACUAGGAUACAUCUACUAUUUUUUUCUUUUAUAUAUGUGAGGGAUUCGAAGAGUGUCAAGAUACCUAUACUACAUUAUAGUAUUUUCACUUUUAAAGGACUAAAGACGAGUAAUUGACCAUUAUCAUGUAUAGGGAUAACAACAUUUUAGGCCUUCACUGUGUUUUGUUCGAAAUCCUGGGGUCUAUAAAAACCCUCAACUAAUUAUAGGAAAAAAAACUAUUCAUAUGGAACUAAUUUAUUUUCAAAGUUUUGGACUAUACAAAUUUGACACAAACAUUCGAAGAAUCGAUAAGUUGUCAUGAUUGAGAGUGAAUGGAAACCAUAUUCCUUAUGCACACAAUGUUGUUGUAGUGACGUACCUCAAUCACGACAGAGACAAACUCGUUUAUGGUAGUUGUGGCUUCAACGACAGUCACAGGGUCAGGAAGAAGGAGAAAGGAGAAAGGAGAAAAGGGUUUGAGCGCGCGGGGGCCAAAAUGAAUUUGUGUUUUAAUUUAUGAAAAGAACAACAUCAAUUUUUUUAACAUAACUAAUGUUAACAUGAAGUACUUAAGAUCGGUUUUUUAAAACCCGAUGUUAACCUCAAGUACUUAACAUCGACUUUAUAAUGAUCGAUGUUAACCUCAUAUAGUUAACAUCGAGUUUUAAAAAACCGAUGUUAAUUAUAUGAGAUUAACAUCGGUUUUUGUCAAAACCGAUGUUAACUACUUGAUAUUAACAUCGGUUAUUUAAAUUUAAAUAAUCGAUGUUAAUCUCAAGUAGUUAACAUUGAUUUUGACAAAACCGAUAUUAACUAACUCGAUUUAUUUACGAAAAUAUCACCGUACUUUUCUUAACAUCGAGUUUCUAAAAAAUCAAUGUUAAUCGUGCGAUGUUAAAUCUAUAUUUUAUAAUAGUAAUAAUAUAUAUAUAUAUAUAUAUAUAUAUAUAUAUAUAUAUACGAGUAUUACACUCUUAAUCAAUCAAUUUUUGCGAUCCUCACACAAUAAAAGUUCUCUCUUCCACACUUUCUCCCUCUAUCGCUUGCACCUAUUGCUCAGAUACCUUUAUCGAAUAUGCAUGCAUGUAGUUAACCUUUCAUUGUAAAUCUUUACGUUACUUACACAUUUUCACUCCAUGAUAUAUACUACAAUGGCGUGUCAUGCUAUAUUAUUUGAAGAUUACCAACCAUAAAAGAAAAGAAACACCUAAAAUGGAAGGCUCAUUCAAUGGCAGGGAGCCAUGAAUAAUCUCAGCAACUAUAACGGUGUUAAACGCGAUCUCUAAACACACCUCCAACCACUAAUAAUAAUCACUGACCAAAUCUGAAAUCUCGGAGUGCAUUUCAAAAAAGAAAGUAAUGACCAAUAGAGCCAUGAAUGUACAAUUAGUCCCAAGCUAGGUAUUAUAAAUAAUGAGAGUAUGUGACAAGACUAACUCAGGCCUCCAAAUAUUUUCCUUUUUAGCUUUGAUUAGAGUGGCCUAGUUGUUGUUUUUCUCAAUGAGAAGGGCUUCCACUAUGCAUUGCGCACUUUGGCGCUUCUGUGUUCCCUUGUUGCUACUUGCUAGCUUCAGUUAUGCACCUUUUGUUUUGGCGACAACUGAAAUUUCAGGUCUGUGGCUCAUCCUAUUACUCACACAUUCAUUUUGUUAUACAUUAGUUUAUGAAAUAUGAUGUUUCUUUGUGUUAGUCCUUAAUAAAAAAAAAUUAUUCAUUUUAAUAUUUACAUUUAACAAAACAGUAUAAUCUCUAAUCUAAGGACUAAAAAAGAUUAAAUUUAAAUAUGGGUUAAUUUUAAAAAAAGUGUGGUAAUACCAAAAAGUAUAUAUAAGUGGCCGUAGUAGUUAGUACCUAUAUAUGAUCAGGUGUAGAAGAUUAGAUCCAUAUACUUGUCAUGCAUAUAAUUAGAAAUGAAAAUUUGUAUUAUUCAUGAAGUACUGUACGAAUUUCGCUGGCCUUCGUUUCAAGUAAAAAUUAAGAUCGACCCUUCAUACACAAGAUUCAGCCAAUGAAGGGUGCUAUUAAUUACUCUGACAGAUUUUAUUGUCUUCUGAAUUCAAUUCAAUCAUUUAUCUUGGCAUGCAGUAUAUGCGUGUGGAAUUAACUUGUGGUCUUCAGCGUGGCUCCCAUACAUAGACCAUGCAUAGUCCCCACAAAAAUAUUUUUGAAAAGAACUAUGGGGAUCCAGUACCUACCUGGUAGCUAGUUUUGGUCAUUAUAUAGCUAUUAUGAUUGGCGAUGAAUUUUUCAUUUUAUUUUUAUAUAUUUUUCUCUAUCAACACUUGAAAAAUAUCAAAUUUACUGGGUAUUACAAAAAUAUUUACUGUGUUUAACUUAUAUUUUCUUGUUUCUUAUUAUGUAGGGAAUGAAGUGAGCACUGAUGGAAAGGUUUUAAAUGAAGAGUUAGCAAAACCUAAUCUACAAGGACAUGAUGAAGAAGCAAAGUUUAAAGGAUUUAUUCCAAAGCCAAUUCCCAUAGUGAAGCCUAUUCCAAAACCAUUUCCCAUCAUUAAGCCUAUUCCAAAGAUAAUUCCUAUUGCUAAACCUAUUCCUAUUCCGAUUUAUAAGCCUAUAUCAAAAUCAAUUCCCAUUAUUAAGCCUGUUCCAAAGAUAAUCCCCAUUAUUAAACCAAUUCCAAUUAUUAAACCUGUACCAAAACCAAUUCCCAUUAUUAAGCCUGUCCCAAAACCAUUUAUAGUGAAAAAGCCUAUCCCUGUUGAGUCGGAGGAAUUUCUAAAACCAAAGCCUUUCUUCAAAAAGCCUAUUCCUAAACUACCACUUCACCCUAAAUUCAAGAAACCAAUUCUACCACCAUUGCCAAUUCACAAGCCAAUUCCAACUCCAUAAGAGGAUAAUACUCUAUAUCUCGAGCUAUAUAGUUAUCCGUUCCAUUUCUAAUGCCUUUAUAAGUAAAGCUGCAUCGUAUCUCAAUUAAAUUUCGUACUCUUCUCGUAUACUGUAAUGGAAAAUAAGUAGUUGAUGCUCUCUGUUCAAUGAAGUUCUCGGUGUUAUCAUGUGUAGAUCGAUUAUAUUAAUGCAAGAGAUUGUAUAUGCAGUUAUUACUUAUUAUUUAAAUAAUGUUUUUUAAUAGUUUUUCAGUUUUAUAUUUUAUGAAUAUAUACUUAAUUGUGAGAGAGAGUGGGGCUCAUCGAUAAAUGUAGCAAUUUCUGCGAGAGAUAUAUCUUAACAAUUACAUUUAUCAUGAAUAAUAUUACGACAAGUAAAUCACUAAAUUAGUUCUUAAAAUUUUAUAGUUCAAAUCAAACAUUUCAUUUAGUAAGAUUUUAAAAGCCCUCUGUUAGUCCUUCAGUUUAUAAUAAAAGCAAAAGAAAAUUCCUCUUCUGUAAUAUUUUAUCAUUAUAUCAUUUUGCACUAAAAAGAACUAAAGUGAAAAAAAUUUGCAAGAAAAUAAAAUCAGUAAAAUUUUUUUUUGUCAAAUUAGGGGAUUGACAAAAUUAAUUAAUUUAUAAGAUCAAAUAAAACUUACACAAAUAUUACUAAAAAGAAAAAAAAACAUCAAUUCAUAGUUUCCUGACAAUAAAUAUAUGUGUAUUUGUUUAUUUUGUACUCUUUUGUUUGUUAAAAGAAUUUAAUAGUAAAGUCUAAUUCAAACUUAUAAAACUAGGUUAAAUAUUUAUUAAUUCAUUAAACUUUAAAUUAAAUUUAAAACAAAACCGUCAACCACGUACAUGAGAUAAACUCUUAGGUAUCAUCUGUCGAAAUAAAUGGUGAUGUUUGAUAAUCUUUUUCAUUGUGCCUUUAAUGGCCCUAUCUAUUUUAGCUACAGUAGUUUAUCAAAUUUUCACCUCAUCAUUUUCGGCAUCUUUAGAGAUAAUUAUAAAAUUUUGCUUCUAAACAUUUGACAUUAAGUCAUUAAUUAUAACAAUUGAUAAAGCGUCAUAUGUACCACUCAUGUAUUCCUAUUCAGUUUGUUGUUUUUCACGUCAAAUGCUAUCAACUAUCAAGUAUGAUCUAGUCAACAUUAUGGGAUGAGACAAUCACUUCAAGCUGUCUUUGUCUUGAAUUGGGUUGCUUAAUUUGGGCCAUGUCAUUUUCUUGUUUGGUUCUUGAAAGGGAAUUACUUUGGGCACCCUACAGUUUUGCUGGGACACCCAGCACCCUAGGUGAAAGGGCCAAAAUGCCCUUCACCCUAUUAAUAUAAAUAGGGCUACAUUAAUUCUUUCGUCCUGUGCUUCUUCGUGCUACAGUAAUUCUGCCGUUCCGCCACAAUGCUUCUUCCUUCGUGCUGCGCUUCUUUCUCCUCGUGGUGGUCUCCUUCAUUCUCCUUCUACUUCUUCAUGUUGCGGUUCUUCUUCUUCAUGGUUGUGGUUCUUCUUUUUCCUCUUUCUCCACUUCCCGUGCGGCUAUGGUUUUUCUUCUUUCCUUCUUCUUCCUCCACUUCCCGCGCCCCUGUUCUUCUUCUUCCUCUCCAACAAAAAAAUGACAUUUUUCUAGGAAAACCCCAUAUGGAUAUGGUUCAUAUAGAUUGCUAAUUUGUAUGAGUUUUUUUUUUUUUUUUGUUGAAUAAUUUUGUUUCAAUUUUUCUUCUUCUAAAUUUGUUUUUUUUUAAUUUUUGAUUUUUGAAUUAUUAUUUAAAUUAUUUCGUAGUAUAAUGUUAUUUUGUAAUGUUAGUGAAAUUUUAUAAUUUUUUCUGAUUUAUAUGUUAAGUACUGAUUUUAUUUAUAAAAAAUAUAUUAGUUAUUACUAAGAUUAGAUUAGAUUGCUAAAAUUAAGAUUAGAUUGGUGAAACAAUUAAUUUUUAAUAUUGUUAUAUUAUAUUUGUCUAACUUUUAAAAAAAAUAAAACAAAUAUUUAAAAGAUAUUGAAUUUGUUACUUAUGAAAAAUAUUGAAAUCAUAAUUAAAAAUAAUUUAAAUUUUUUAGUUACAACAAACAUUUAAACAAAUUUUUUAAUAAUUUAAAUUUGUUAUAAAAAUAUUGAAACAUAAUUUUUAAUUGUACAAUAAAUCUGUUAGUUAUAAAAAUUAUGAAACCAAAAUUUAAAAUAUGAUAAGAUUUUUAGUUUAAGAUAAUGAUUGAAAUCAAAUAUGAAAAAAUAUUUGAUUUAGUAGUUAUAAAAAAUAUUGAAACCAAAAUUUAAAAUAUGAUAAGAUUGUUAGUUUAAGAUAAUGAUUGAAAUCAAAUUUAAAAAUAUAUUUGAUUUAGUAGUUAUAAAAAAUAUUGAAACCAAAAUUUAAAAUAUGAUGAGAUUGUUAGUUUAAGAUAAUGAUUGAAAUCAAAUUUAAAAAUAUAUUAAAUUUGUUAGUUAUAAGAAAUAUGAAAACCAAAAUUUAAAAUAUAAUAAGAUUGUUAGUUUAAGGUAAAAUUAAAUUUAAAAUAAUAUUUGAUUUUGUAGUUAUAAAAAAUAUUGAAAUUAAAAGUUAAAAUGUGAAAUAUGAUAAGAUUGAUAGUUUAAGAUAAUGAUUGAAAUCAAAUUUAAAAAUAUAUUAAAUUUGUUAGUGAUAAGAAAUAUGUAAACCAAAAUUUAAGAUAUGAUAAGAUUGUUAGUUUAAGGUAAUGAUUAAAAUUAAAUUUAAAAAUAUAUUUGAUUUUGUAGUUAUAAAAAAUAUUGAAACCAAAAUUUAAAAUAUGAUAAUAUUGUUAGUAUAAGAUAAUGAUUGAAAUCAAAUUUAAAAAUAUAUUAAAUUUGGUAGUUAUAAAAAAUAUUGAAACCAAAAUUUAAGAUUUAAAAUUUAUUUAUUAAUCCCUAUUAUUUAAUUUUUUCAAAAUUAUUUUUGUAGAAAUUUUUUAUUCAUUUAUUUUAUUUACAAAAUUUGAUAAUUAAAAAAAUCUGAUAUUUAAUUGAAUGAUGUAUUUAGAUUUUUAUUAUAAUGAUUAAAAAUUAAAUAAAUAUGAUAUUUAAUUGAAUGAUGUAUUUAGAUGUUUUUUUAUAGCAAUUGAUAAUGAAAUAAAUUUGAUAUUUUUUACAUCUGUAAAUACUUAUUAAACCUAUCAUUUUUAUUUAUAAUUUAUAUAUGUAAAAAAAUUAAUUAUUAUAUAAAAAUAAUCAUUACAAAAUUUAUUAUGUAAAUUUAAAUAUACAUUAAAUAUAAAUUAAAAAUUUUAGUAUUAUAUAUAACGACACUAUUUACUUAUAGCAUAAUAUGUCUAUUAGUUCAGUUGGUUUGAUUGUUAUAUUGAACCCUCUCUAUCAUACCUUUGGGAAAGUUAUUCUACUUACAAAAUGGAUCGUCAAUUCUAGAAGAAAGCAUAAAUACCUCCUCUCUAAUAUUUACCAACUUGAUCAUUAAGAACAAAGGCUCAAGACUCUUCAAUGUACUCUAAGCUUCUUUUUUUCUUUUUUUGCUAUGUAAAGACAACUUAUAUCAAUUACAAAAGUUAACUAGUAAUGAGCUAAAAAAAAAACAAAACUCUUCCCAACGUUGUAUUUUGUAAACGAAGAAAAUAAAUUAAAAUAUGCCAUGAUAAAGAAAAAGUUGCUGUCAAUAAUAUAAUAGAAGAUAGGAUAUCAUCAUCGUAAUUAUUGUAAAGUAGUGGUAUUUCUAAUGUUAUUUCUUAGUAUAUAAAGCUCAUCCAUUCAUGAAACCAUUUAUGUAUUUCAAGUAAUAUUUUCAAAUUCAGAUAAACAAUUAACUAAACUUUCUCCAAACUUACUCACCAAAUUAGUAUCAUUGUGUAUUGUUAAAUUUAUUAUACUACAUAAAUUUUUCAUCAUAUCCAAAUUAAUUUUUUAAUUGUUAUUAAAGAACUUUCUAAUUAUUAAAAACUAUGUAAGGACACAUUUUUGUAACAGAUCUACUUAGCAUUUUUUGAAGUUGUUUGAUUAUGUUAUUACUUCACCCUUAAUUUUCGAUUCUUUGGUUUUCAUGAAGGUAUGCAUUGCAGAAUGGAGGUGCAGUGGAAUUUUCACUUGAAUUUUUUUUACUGAAAAUGUUCACACAAUCGAAGACCCAUAAUUGCAUUUUUUAUUAUUUAAAUUCUCGAUCUCUCUUUAGCUUUAAAUUAAGGGUAAAUUUUCAUUAGUUAAAUAUAAUGUCAAAUAAGGAUAUCUAAACUUUUAUUUGCAAUGAGUUUCUUCAAUUUUACGUGAUGGGAUUGUUUGCAUUUAUUUUAAUUGUUAUGUUUUGUCUAUUUUGAAGUUCUUUAUUGGCAAUGUAGGACAAAUCUUUUCUUAUGUCUUGGAUUAUGUGUUAGACAGUAAGCAAAAUCUCAUCAUCAUCUCCAUUUAUUGCAAGUAUAUAUGCUUGCAAUAGCAUUAUGCUAUGUUAGAUGAUUAAAAGAGAUGUAUUCUAUAUAUCAAUUUUUAAAUCACUAAUAUAAAUAUGUUCAGAAGAGAUAUUUUUAUUUUAAAUAUAAGAAUAUUUUUGGAUUUAUUUUUUGGGGUCUUCAAAUGUGUGAUGUUACAUUUGGCCAUAGGAGAUAUAUAUGGAUUGAUGUGCUCCAAAUGGAUGAAGUCAUACAAGAAACACCUUUCUCUAAUCAUUCUCUUUAGAUCAUCUAUCAAAAUUAUUCGUUCCACUUUGAUUUUAACUUAGAGAUGUUGCUCCAAGUCAGCAUUUUCCUUUUCUCUUCAGAAUUAGCUCCGAAUCAAGUUCUUGUUGCAAGACUAUUUUUCAUCAAUUAAAACUAAAUAUUCCCAGCCUGCCAAGAAUGCCUUCAAGCUAUAUGUUAGAAAUUAGAAGUGUUAUUUCUCAUCUAAUUAAUACAACACAUCUCACAUAGUUUUAUGAACUUUUAGAAUGUUGGGAUUCAAUCAAUCAAUCUAAUUUGAUUCUAACAGGCAAUCAUCAAACUUAAUCACAUGUUUUCUCUUCAUGUAAAGAGAAAUUACUGUAUAAAGAUGAAUAGAACCCCUCUGUGUUCUCAUACUCAAAAUCUUGAUGAAAACUAAGCUGUGGAAGUGUACCUGGAUUAACCAUAGUGGAAUGAUGAUGAAAAGUUGAUCAGAAGAUUGAUUUUAUGACCUUCCAAAUGUAGAGAGUCUUUUUUUUUUUUUUUUCUUCUUCUCUUAAAGUUUUAUCUUUAUGAAGUGUACAUGUUGGUUUGACUUAAGUUGCUUUCUACAAAUGGGGACCAUAACCCCUUAAGCCCCUUAUCAAAUUAACAAUAUCACUAGUAUCUACACAAUUAACCUUUCAUGAUAUCCCCUAGCCAUAUUUUUAUAUUGAUUAGACCAUUUUAAUAUUUUGGCUAAUUAUAUAAUGACCCUAACUCAUCAAAUUAUGUGAUAUAAACCCAAAAUUGCUACUAUAAAAAACUUCUAAUUUUUAAUUUAAAGCAUAAAAGUCUGAAAUAUUUACGUUGUCACCUAAGACAAAAAAUUCAUAGACUACGUUUUGGCCUAACUUAUUUAGAAGAUGAUCAAAAGUACAAAAUGAAAAUUAUUACACUGUCAAGUAUUUCAGUCUUAUAAAGUUACUUUUAUGUUUGAUAUAAAUACUUUCUUGUGACAAAAAUAAUAUUUGUUUUAAUAAUCAUGUCGUGAGUUUGCUUCUGUUUUGUAGAUUAUAUUCCCUUUUAAAAGUACUGAAACAAGAUUGAGCAAAGGUGUUCCCACUGAAAGUUGCCCUACAUUUUAUCAUAUAAGCAGUCUUUCAGAGGUGGAAACUUUUUGUUUGUAAAAACAUUUGAUAUUUGAAUACAGACUCAGACUCAUAGGUACAAGAUUAUUCUAAUUAUGCAAUUAUGUAUAUAUAUAUAUAUAUAUAUAUAUAUAUAUAUAUAUAUAUAUAUAUAUAUAUAUAUAUAUAUAUAUAUAUAUUACCAAAAGAAAUCUCUCUCUCUUGGUUAUUUAAAGAUAUCCAUAAAUUUUAAAAUGUUGUUGAUAAACUAAGAGGGUCAAUAAUUGAGUGCCUACAAGAAGAACAUAAAGACAUUUUUAUUUAACUUGAGGUCCAAUUCCUAUUAUUUUCAUGAAGAAAUAAUUCUUCACCUACAGAUCAAAUUCAUGAUUUGACAGAGGGAUCUCAAGAUGACAAAGCCUUCUCCAGCCUUGUUCUUUUGUUGGUGCAAUUGUCUUUUAUUGGACAAACUGUCAUCCCAAAAACCAUCAAGGAGAAGAUCCUUAGCUAUCUAAUAUAUUACUUUAAAUUAAUUUUUUCUAUUUGUUAUUUACUUUAAAUUUUAUUUGCAAAUUGUGGUAUAUUUUAGUCAAAAGGUGAUUAUUUCCUUUAAAUUCACAGAAAAAGUCAUACAAAUUUUGUAUAUUUUAUGAGUAUUAUAUUUUGUUUUGAAAGAAAAACUUAAUAUAUCCUGUAGAUUUUUAACAAAAAUAAUUUACAAAUAGGUUCUCUAACAUUUUGUAUUCACCGAAAGUAUAAAAGUCAUAAAAAAACCAUGAAAAGUCUUAUUAAUAAAGUGGAAAAAUCUAUUAUAAUAUCAUAAAAAGGUAAUUAAUAAAAUAAUAAUUAACAUUUAAAUUAUAUAAUUAAGAGUUUAAUGCACAUUCGCAUAUAUACUGUCAAUUUAACAUUUGUGUUAUUAUUGCUAUGGUGAUUUGUUAUUAAAUCAUUAUAUAAAAUACGUUACACUUGUAAUGUAUAACUUAUUUUCUUUUUAAUUAAAUAUUGAAAAUUAUGCAUAAAAAUGAUACCAUUAAAACUAGUAUAUUUAAUUUAUAUCUUAUAAUUUUAAAUAUUUUGGCAAGCUAUGCUAUUGGUGGUUAGUGUUUAUUUAUGGUUAAUUCGAUAACUUCUUCAUCGGUGACCCCAAUAAUAUAUAUAUAUAUAUAUAUAUAUAUAUAUAUAUAUAUAUAUAUAUAUAUAUAUCAGUCAUUAUUGAUUAUACCAUCAGUAUAACACUCUUAAUCAAUCAAUUUCUGCGAUCCUCACACAGUAAAAGUUCUCUCUCGCUUGCACCUAUUGCUCAGAUACCUUUAUCGAAUAUGCAUGCAUAUAGUUAACCUUUCAUUGUAAAUCUUUACGUUACUUACACAGUUACACUCCAUGAUAUAUACUACAAUGGCGUGUCAUGCUAUAUUAUUUGAAGAUUACCAACCAUAAAAGAAAAGAAACACCUAAAAUAGAAGGCUCAUUCAAUGGAAGGGAGCCAUGAAUAAUCUCAGCAACUAUAACGGUGUUAAACGCGAUCUCUCUAAACACACCUCCAACCACUCCCAAUAAUAAUAAUCACUGACCAAAUCUGAAAUCUCGGAGUGCAUUUCAAAAAGAAAGUAAUGACCAGUAGAGCCAUGAACGUACAAUUAGUUCCAAGCUAGGUAUUAUAAAUAAUGAGAGUAUGUGACAAGAGUAAUUCAAGCCUUCAAAUAUUUUCCUUUUUAGCUUUGAUUAGAGUGGCCUAGUUGUUGUUUUUCUCAAUGAGAAGGGUUUCCACUAUGCAUUGCGCACUUUGGCGCUUCUGUGUUCCCUUGUUGCUACUUGCUAGCUUCAGUUAUGCUCCUUUUGUUUUGGCCACUGAAAUUUCAGGUUUGUCGCUCAUCCUAUUACUCACACAUAUUCAUUUUGUUAUACAUUAUUUUAUGAAAUAUGAUGUUUCUUUGUGUUAGUCCUUAAUAAAAUAAAUUAUUCAUUUUAAUAUUUACAUUUGCCAAAACAGUAUAAUUUCUAAUCUAAGGACUUAAAAAGAUUAAAUUUAAAUAUGGGUUAAUUUUAAAAAAAAGUGUGGUAAUAUAUACCAAAAAGUAUAUACAAGUGGCCGUAGUAGUUAGUACCUAGAUAUGAUCAGGUGUAGAAGAUUAGAAUGAAAAUUUGUAUUAUUCAUGAAGUACUGUACGAAUGUCGCUGGCCUACGUUUCAAGUAAAAAUUAAGAUCUACCCUUCAUACACAAGAUUCAGCCAACGAAGGGUGCUUUUAAUUACUCUGACAGAUUUUAUUGCAUGUCUUCCGAAUUCAAUUCAAUCAUUUAUCUUGGCAUGCAGUAUAUGCGUGUGGAAUUAACUUGUGGUCUAUUGUUGAGCGUGGCUCCCAUACAUAGACCAUGCAUACUCCCCACAAAAAUAUGUUGAAAAGAACUAUGGGGAUCCAUGCCAGUACCUACCUGGUACCUAGUUUUCUUCAUUAUAUAGCUAUUAUGAUUGGCGAUGAAUUUUUCAAUAUAUUUAAUUUUGUAUUUAUAUAUUUUUUUCUCUAUCAACACUUGAAAAAUAUCAAAUUUACUGGGUAUUACAAAAGUAUUUACCGUGUUUAACUUAUAUUUUCUUGUUUCUUAUUAUGUAGGGAAUGAAGUGAGCACUGAUGGAAAGGUUUUAAAUGAAGAGUUAGCAAAACCUAAUCUACAAGGACAUGAUGAAGAAGCAAAGUUUAAAGGAUUUAUUCCAAAGCCAAUUCCCAUAGUGAAGCCUAUUCCAAAACCAUUUCCCAUCAUUAAGCCUAUUCCAAAGAUAAUUCCUAUCGCCAAACCUAUUCCUAUUCCGAUUUAUAAGCCUAUAUCAAAAUCAAUUCCCAUUAUUAAGCCUGUUCCAAAGAUAAUUCCCAUUAUUAAACCAAUUCCAAUUAUUAAACCUGUACCAAAACCAAUUCCCAUUAUUAAGCCUGUCCCAAAACCAUUUAUAGUGAAAAAGCCUAUCCCUGUUGAGUCGGAGGAAUUUCUAAAACCAAAGCCUUUCUUCAAAAAGCCUAUUCCUAAACUACCACUUCACCCUAAAUUCAAGAAACCAAUUCUACCAUCAUUGCCAAUUCACAAGCCAAUUCCA